RNAcentral lists this long non-coding RNA (1357 nucleotides) under Callithrix jacchus (white-tufted-ear marmoset). RNAcentral's name for it is "lncRNA (ENSCJAG00000059305.2)". Lineage: Eukaryota; Metazoa; Chordata; Mammalia; Primates; Cebidae. The record is from RNAcentral.
UUUUAGACAUACAGCCUUUGUUGGGGAAGUUAAGCUCAGUGAAAGAUGGAGUAAAAGUGGCUCCAGAAGAGAGAAAAUGAGGGGAGAGAGAUUGAUGCUUGGAAUGAAGAAGAGAAUGCACUAAGGACAGAUCUGUUCCACUGGACUGAGUUAAUGGGAAAUGGCUUCCAUGGAUGACAGAGACCAGCACAGCUCUUCAGAAGGCACUGAGUGUGGCUUAUGGAAACUACAGGUCUGAUGUGGCCAAGCUGGCAGACUGUGCAGACUUCCUUCAUGAGGGACAUCUCUCUAGUUUGCCCUGAGAAGCAGUGUCUGACAGGUGUUCAAUCAUGGCAUCAUGUGUAGCAGAAAGAACAGCCACAAAUAUGGAAAUCACCAUACACAAAAAAACCAUGCUGAACUUCAAUUUACUGAAAUCACAUAAAACUUCAUCAUUUUGCAUAAUCUAGUGGAUGAACAUGGGGGUGAAGGAAUGAGUGUGAACACUUAAUGAUCAAAUACAGACUGGAAUUGAAAAUACUCUAAAGACAGUUGACAGUUCUUACAUUCAAGAAUUUCUGAAACACUUGAGAACAGAUCUGUCCUGAAUGCCUUGCAGAUGCAAUACCAUACAGUCCUAGAUUUCUGGUCUCCAUGGGUCUUGGAACUGCUGUUUCAUCCACUAAGAAUCAUCUUCUGUGGUCUUCAAAUUAGUUUUACUUGGACUGCAGCUGCUAUGUCUGAAGCUGUGAAAGGCCAUAAGAUUAAAAGAAAGAAAAAAAAUGUGACCAAGCAUUCCUUAUAAAAAGGGAAAUAGAAAAAGUAAGGUAAGUAGGACUUAGGGUGCGUGUAGUAAUAGGUGCUAAUAUAAUGAAUAUAUAUCUCCUUUGGCUAACAUCCAACAUGUUUUAUUUUUAGAGGAUCUCAUUAGGUGGCUGCCAGUACUUCUCACUAUGGAAAUUGAGGAAAGCCAGUUAUUUCUUCACCCCAUCUAUGGCAGCCAGAGUGUGCUCACAUGAUUUCAACUCUCCCAUUAGGAGACCUCUGCCUGGGAACUUGCCCCUUCAGCAGCAGACGUGGAGCUGUGAGGUUUAAAGGGACGGCUGUGGCAAGAAAUAAGAGGAGGGACAUUGUGAUCUCCAACAAUGGCCAAGGCACAGAUAUGAAGAAACAUAGAGCUUGUUUAAGAAGAAACAGCUGGAGCCAGUUUAUUAACUAAUUUGAAAUCUUGGAUUUGGGAGGUACUUGUAAGGAAGAACAGAAGGGGAAACUAGCAUGAUAUGAAAGAAGACAAGAGAACUUCCUAACAACGAGAUAUAAUAUUUAUCAAUUUGCCCAAGGAUUACUUCCUCAAAGAAACUUGUGGCUAGAAAUAGAC